GCUCACCAAGAACUCAAGUGCUCAUUCAAUAAAACACACACAGCUGAAGGGAAACAGUUAAGAGCCCUGGGUCUGGAGCAAAACUGCUGAGGUUUGAGGCCCCGUUUUGCUGCUCACUAGCUACAUGAUCUUGGGCAAGUUAUUUAAGCUCUCUGAGCUUCAGUUUCUUCCUCUGCAGAAUGGGGAUGAAAGUGGACUACUACCUCAUGGCAUGUUUUGAGGAUGAAAUGAGCUAAUAAACACAGUCUUCAGCCCUACAUUAGGAUGGCCUAAGGAAAACAAGAAGACUGAAUGAUAUUCCCUGCUGACUUAUAUAAGUUAUUAGUCUUCUAGAAGGAUCACAAGGAACCAGCAUCAAAGAAAUGGAAUCCAGCUAAUUCCCCCAAGAAACUGAAGUUUUCGGGACAUGACUUGUGAAAGGCAAACAUAAGCUGACAUCUUUUCACACUGAACAGCAAGAGCCAAAGUGUAUCCGAAAAGCCAUUGUCAAAACAAGGAGUGAGAACAGCUGGGGUCAAGACCUAAUGAAGGGCAUCACUCAGCCUCUUUGAGCCUCGGAUUCCUCAUUUGUAAAGUGGGCAUAAUAAUACCUCACAGGGUAGUUAUGAGGGCAAAUGAGAUAAUGGACACGAAGGCACCUGUACACUCCACGGUGCUAUCAGAAUAUUGACUAUUAGUGCUUUCAUCACGCGGCUCCAUCCAAACCCCUGCUUUCCCUCACUCCAACAGGCUUUUACUCUGUCACCCAUGCUGGAGUGCAGUGGUGCAAUCUUGGCUCACUGAAACCUCUGCCUCCUGGAUUCAAGCGAUCCUCCCACCUCAGCCUCCCGAGUAGCUGGGACUACAGGCAACCUGGCGGUUCCCCGCUCCAGGGAGGUCACCCUCUUGAUGCUGAAUUUAGCACGGACACCUGAUGGGCACAGUGCACUGCAGCCCAGAGCUCCUGAGCUCAAGCCAUCCUCCUGCCUCAGCCUCCAAGUAGCCAGGACCACAGGCACGCACCCUGAGGAGGAAGAAAUACCAGGUGCGCAUGCUCCAAGAAAAAGCCAUCUGAGGACGCGGCAAGAAGGCCGCCAUCUACAAGCCAAGGAGAGGGGCCUCAGGAGAAAUCGAACCUGUCACACCUUGAUCUUGGACUUCCAGCCUUCAGAACUGUGAGAAAGUAAAUUUCUGUGUUCAAGCUACCAGGUCUGUGGGAUUUUUUAUGGCAGCCCUAGCAGACUAAGACAGGCAUCAAUGGUUCCAAUGUUUUCAUUUUUUUUCCGGUAAGCAGACCGAAGCCCAGAGAGAUGAAGCAAUUUGCCCAAAGUCACAUACCAAGUUAACUGAAGAGUUGGGGUUAGAAUCCAGCUCUUGUGACUUCUCUCUUUUCAGUUUCCCUUCCCACUCCCCCCACUGAAAAGCUUUUGAGUGACUCUUUUAGAAAUCCCGGUUCUGUAUAUGAAGCAGAAUUGAGCACAGCUGCUCUAAUGAAGGGCUCAGAGCUCCCAGGCUUUUCUCUCUCCCCUGCCCCUUUUCCCUGUUGCACCUCUGCAGUGUCCUGAGGGUUGAUGGAAUCUAGUUUGAAAGCUAUUGCUCUACCUCACUGCCUCCUGAAUGCAAUGUCACAAAUUUUCCCAACUUGCCAUUUCUCUCACACUGACAUAAAGCAUUAGAAACCUGUUGUGAAGUAGGAAAGCUAACUGGGUCAGUAGCUGAUAAGAUAAUCUGGCCUAGGGGAUAGAUGAUUAGGAUUUCAGAGAAGGAAAGGUCACCCAAUUGAUUUGACUCUGUCCUGGGGCGAUGAUAUGGUGAAGAUUUCUACAGAUGCAGCAGAAACAUCCGGAAACCAGGUGUGUCCCAGCUCUGGUCUGGGAACCAUUUCAUAAAUUGGCAAAUAUCCAGGAUAUACACAUGGCUAAUUCUGAGGUGUACUGAAGUUUCAAUAAAGCUACUUUGGUAAUGACUAGGAGAAGAAAAUCCUAUGGCUGGACUUCAUUAAUGUUGUAUGGCCAAGGACAGUGUUUCUCUAAUUAUGGCCUGUGAACCUCCCUGGAUCUCGAUCACCUGCAUAUUUGGGAAUAUGCAGGUUCCAGGGUCCCACCUGAAACUACAGAAUCAGUAUUGAGAUCCCAGGUGAUUCUCAUGUACACUCAAGUGUAAGAUUAUUAGCACCUGGACUUUGGAAGCAGCCAGAUAAAAGUUUGGAUCCUGGGUUGGCUACUUCCUAGAUGUGGCCAAGUCAUUUUACUUGCCAUGCUUUUGCUUUUCUUGUCUGUAAAGUGGACAUGAUACCUAUUUUACAGGGUGGUUUUGAGGAAUAAGGUCAGCAUUAAACAUUUAUCCUCUUUAGGGAGACAGAGAGAGGAGAUGAAAUAGAGUAGAAUUGAGAAAAGCAGUUUCUUAGACCUCCCUGUGAAGUUUUUCUUAUUUCAACAAAUAAUAAAAUAAAAAAUUCAUACACUUUCUUAGUGCUUGUUUGGACUUAAGAAUUUAAAAAUAACUUGAGAGUUUUAUAGGCAUCAAGGAUGAUGUCUGAGUGCUGGAAAUACUUGACCUUUGGCUGGAAGGUGGAGUGAAGGUGCCAGCGGACUGAACCCUGGGAGACUGUCUUCUGUUUUAUGAAUGUGGUCAUGCUCUGAGUUAAAUGAUGUCCCUGGUAAGGACAUCUCCCAGAAAAGCUUAGAAAUCAGCUGUAAUCCUUGUUCCCUGCAAGACCCUUGACUUGGAUGUUAAGAGUUCCCUAUAAUGAUAAUAGCUACCUUUACUGAGCACUACUUGUUAGCCAGGCAUUGUGCUAAGUGCUUUAUGUGCAUUAUGUUAUGCAAUCCUGCAAAUACCGUUACGGGGCAGGUAAUAUUAUUAAUGCUAUUUUAACAAUGACAAAAGUAACUCACUGAUUAGGACUCUGAGUAGUAUCCAUACCACUGUAAGGAUAACAAAGAGCAAAGGCAGAUUAGGUCCGGCUCUGCUGUUUGUUGGGUGUUUUACUUAGAUUUAACCCCUAGACAAGUCUGAGUCUUGAUAUGGUCUUGCCUAUUACUCUACUUCUUUCUCUGCUGUGCACAGAUGGAGACUGGCAUCUGUAUUAAUACCAGGUUGUGUGCUUAAAGUCCAAUGAAUAGCAUUUUUUUUUUUUUUUGAGAUGGAGUCUCAUUCUGUUGCCCCGGCUGGAGUGCAGUGGUGCGAUCUCUGCUCACUGCAACCUCCGCCUCCCAGGUUCAAGCAAUUCUCCCACGUCAGCCUCCUGAGUAGCUGGGAUUACAGGGGUAUGCCACCAUGCCUGGCUAAUUUUUGCAUUUUUAGUAGAGAUGGGGUUUCACCAUGUUGGCUAGGCUGGUCUCGAACUCCUGACCUCAGGCGAUCCACCUGCCUUGGUCUCCCAAAGAGCUGGGAUUACAGGCGUGAGCCACUGCACUGAGCCCAGUGAAUAGCAUUUAAUAAAUGUUUGUAAAUGCUCUGAAUGUACUAUGAUAAUACAACAAAGUUGUACACAUAAGAUUAUCAUAGCAAAAAAUGGAGAGUAACCUUGGUUACUUCUAUAUAGUUAUUUAAUUUUAAUUUUUUUUUUUGAGAUGGAGCCUUGCUCUGUCACCCAGGCUGGAGUAUAGUGGCGUGAUCUUGGCUCACUGCAACCUCCACCUCCUAGCCUCCUAGGUUCAAGCGAUUCUCCUGCUUCAGCCUCCUGAGUAGCUGGGACUACAGAUAUAUACUACCAUGCCCCUUUAAUUUUUGUAUUUUUGGUAGAGAUGAAGUUUCACCAUUUUGGCCAGGCUGGUCUUGAACUCCUGACCUCAAGUGAUCAGCUCACGUCUGCCUCCCAAAGUGCUGGGAUUACAGGUGUCAGCCACCGUGCCAGGCCAAUUUUUUUUUUUUUUUAGAGACAGAGUCUUGCCUUGUCAGCCAGGUUGGAGUGUAGUGGUAUGAUCACAGCUUAUUGCAACCUCGAACUCUUGGGCUCAAGUGAUCCUCCAGCCUCAGCCUCCCGAGUAGCUAUGGCUACAGGUGCAUACAAUCAAAUGCCUGGCUAAUUAAAAACAUUUUUUUUUCUGUAGAGAUAGUUUCUCGCUAUGUUGUCCAGGCUGGUCUUGAAAUCCUGGCCUCAAGCAAUCCUCCUGCUUCAGCGUGGGAUUACAAGCAUGAGCCACUGUGCCCAGCCUAUACAGCCAUUUAAAAUGAUUGUAUAGCUCUAUAAUAAAUGAAUAACAUACAUACCAUAAUAAAAGAAUAAAGCAGGAUAUGAAGUAGCAUGAUUAAUGGAAUCUCAUUUUUGAAAAUCAAAUAUGUUUAUAUGUACAUAGAAAAAAUAUGGAAGGAUCUACCCCAUAAUGUUAGUUGAGCUCUGAAUGGUAGAUUUAGGAUUUUUUUUUUUUUUUUUUUUUUUUGAGACAGUCUCACUCUGUCACCCAGGCUGGAGUGCAGUGGCGUGGUCUCAGCUCACUGCAACCUCUGCCUCCCGGGUUCAGGUGAUUCUCUUGCCUCAGCCUCUGGAAUAGCUGGGAUUACAGGUGCCCGCCACCACACCUGGCUAAUUUUUGUAUUUUUAGUAGAGACGGGGUUUCUCUAUGUUGGCCAGGCUGGUUUUGAACGGCUGACCUUGUGAUCCGCCUGCCUCAGUUUCCCAAAGUGCUAGGAUUACAGGUGUGAGCCACCAUGCCCUACGAUUUAGGAUGUUUUUUGACUCUGAAAAAGAAAAAUUGUCUGAUUUUUCUUUUUCUGUUUUUAUUUUUACAGUGAGCUGAACACACAUCAUUUUUAUAACUGGGAAAAAUGUGCCACUAUUAUUUUGAAAAUUAAAUUCCUUGGAAAUAAAAAGCUAAACAUUCUACCAUCUUCCAUGUUAUUGUGGGUUUGUAUUUGCUUCUCUAAGAGAGUGAUUAGGAGAUGCUCUGAAGACUCUCAGCACACCAAAAGGAUAGCUAUUCUAAACAUUCCUUUUAGCACCUUCACAUACAUUCAAUGCAUUCCUCAAUGUAUCACCCAAUGCAUUCUUGUUGAAUAAGUGAAUGAGCAUUGAGAAGAAAAUCUGUGAUCAAUAUGCAAAGUGUUGCAAAAGAAGAACACUUUCAUAAGGAUGAGAAGUCAUAACAAUAGAAAAUAAUAACUUUCAAUUUCUUUUUCUUAGAUUCCUGGUAGCUGGAUUAAUUUGUGUUCAAAGUGAUUCACUGAGUCUAGUGAGAUCCUAGAACAAGGUUGGGGCUGUUUAAGUCACUCUAAGAGCUCCCUCCAGACAUUUCUGUCAGCCUGUCUACACCAUAUCUCUUUUCAUUAUUCUUGUUGCCUUUGGUGGCUGUCACAGACAGGAGAGCCAAAUAAUGCUCCUAGCAGCACAUAUCAUUUCUGCUUUGUCCAUCUCUUGCUCACUAUAAUAGGACAUUCUUCUUCCACAGAUAGAACAGAUUUCUGGUUCUUAGAAAGGCUUCCCAACCUCUGCCCAGGCGUUCAUUUUAUUUGUGAUUCAGAGAAUGGCUCUUGGCCAACACAAGAGAAUGCCAAUUCAGGGACUACUGUGGUUUGAAUGUCCCCUCUGAAACUCAUGUUGAAAUCUAAUUGCCAUUGUAAUAGUAUUAACAGUGGGACCUUUAAAAGGUGCUUAGGUCAUGAGGGGUCAUGAUGGAUUAAUGCUGUUGUCACUGGGAGUGGGGUCCCAAUAAAGGGAUGAAAUUUGGCCUGAUUUCCUGUCUCACACAUGAUAAAGGGAUGAUAUUCAGCCUGCUUUCCAGUCUCGCACGCCUGCUUGCCCUUCCGCCAUGUUAUGAUGCAGCCAGAAGGCCCUCACCAGAAGCAGCCCCUCAGCCUUGGACUUCCC
This 5788-nucleotide long non-coding RNA is filed under the name Homo sapiens (human). RNAcentral's name for it is "HSALNT0342449". The record is from RNAcentral. Lineage: Eukaryota; Metazoa; Chordata; Mammalia; Primates; Hominidae.